RNAcentral lists this long non-coding RNA (219 nucleotides) under Elaeis guineensis (African oil palm). RNAcentral describes it as "long non-coding RNA (EGUI_LNC035464)". The record is from RNAcentral. Lineage: Eukaryota; Viridiplantae; Streptophyta; Magnoliopsida; Arecales; Arecaceae.
CUCCUCAUCAUCCUCCUACUCUUUUUCAGUAGCUGGUGGAUGAGAGUCGGAUGUCUCAGCAUCUUGAAAUGAAGAAAAAUAAAAUAUUAUUAAUAAGUUUCAAUAUGAAGGUGUAUCUUUUGAUACGAAGGCAUACCUUUCGAUACACUCUUUCAAUUCUUGAACAGAUUAUUUUUAUGCAUUUCAUUCGAUGAUACAGAGCUACAAACAUGUCGGCCU